This 450-nucleotide ribosomal RNA is filed under the name uncultured bacterium. RNAcentral's name for it is "bacterial SSU rRNA". It matches the Rfam family "Bacterial small subunit ribosomal RNA", at positions 355 to 796 of the family's 1533-position model. The record is from RNAcentral.
UCGAGAGGCUUUGGCAAUGGGGGAAACCCUGACCAAGCGACGCCGCGUGGAGGAUGAAGGCCCUUGGGUUGUAAACUCCUUUUGUCGGGGAAGAAAUGCGAUCAGGUGAAUAAUCUGGUCGUUUGACGGUACCCGGCGAAUAAGCUCCGGCUAACUCCGUGCCAGCAGCCGCGGUAACACGGGGGGAGCAAGCGUUGUUCGGAAUCACUGGGCGUAAAGGGCGUGUAGGCGGUUGAGUAAGUGGGAUGUGAAAUGCCUCGGCUUACCCGGGGACCGGCAUCCCAAACUGCUCGACUUGAGUACGGGAGAGGAUGAGGGAAUUCCUGGUGUAGCGGUGAAAUGCGUAGAUAUCAGGAGGAACACCGGUGGCGAAGGCGCUCAUCUGGCCCGAUACUGACGCUGAUGCGCGAAAGCUAGGGGAGCGAACGGGAUUAGAUACCCCCGUAGUCC